RNAcentral lists this ribosomal RNA (465 nucleotides) under Vreelandella stevensii. RNAcentral describes it as "partial 16S ribosomal RNA". It matches the Rfam family "Bacterial small subunit ribosomal RNA", at positions 338 to 795 of the family's 1533-position model. Lineage: Bacteria; Pseudomonadati; Pseudomonadota; Gammaproteobacteria; Oceanospirillales; Halomonadaceae. The record is from RNAcentral.
CCUACGGGUGGCUGCAGUGGGGAAUAUUGGACAAUGGGGGGAACCCUGAUCCAGCCAUGCCGCGUGUGUGAAGAAGGCCCUCGGGUUGUAAAGCACUUUCGGUGAGGAAGAACGCCUGGUGGUUAAUACCCAUCAGGAAAGACAUCACUCACAGAAGAAGCACCGGCUAACUCCGUGCCAGCAGCCGCGGUAAUACGGAGGGUGCGAGCGUUAAUCGGAAUUACUGGGCGUAAAGCGCGCGUAGGUGGCUUGAUAAGCCGGUUGUGAAAGCCCCGGGCUCAACCUGGGAACGGCAUCCGGAACUGUCAAGCUAGAGUGCAGGAGAGGAAGGUAGAAUUCCCGGUGUAGCGGUGAAAUGCGUAGAGAUCGGGAGGAAUACCAGUGGCGAAGGCGGCCUUCUGGACUGACACUGACACUGAGGUGCGAAAGCGUGGGUAGCAAACAGGAUUAGAUACCCCUGUAGUC